This 589-nucleotide ribosomal RNA is filed under the name uncultured bacterium. Its description in RNAcentral is "bacterial SSU rRNA". It matches the Rfam family "Bacterial small subunit ribosomal RNA", at positions 903 to 1497 of the family's 1533-position model. The record is from RNAcentral.
UCAAGAAUUGACGGGGNCGCACAACGGUGGAGCAUGGGGUUUAUUGACGCAACGCGAGACCUUACCUAGCUUGACAUGCUGGAGAAAGCUUGCGAAACGUGAGCCCCUCUUCGGAGUUCCAGCACAGAUGCUGCAUGGCUGUCGUCAGCUCGUGUCGUGAGAUGUUGGGUUAAGUCCCGCAACGAGCGCAACCCUCACCCUUAGUUACCAGCGGGUAAAGCCGGGGACUCUAGGGGGACUGCCGGUGCCAAACCGGAGGAAGGUGGGGAUGACGUCAAGUCAUCAUGGCUCUUACGUCUAGGGCUACACACGUGCUACAAUGGACCGGACAAAGGGCUGCCAACUCGCGAGAGUGCGCCAAUCCCCAAACCGGUCCUCAGUUCGGAUUGUAGUCUGCAACUCGACUACAUGAAGCUGGAAUCGCUAGUAAUCGUGGAUCAGCUACGCCACGGUGAAUACGUUCCCGGGCCUUGUACACACCGCCCGUCACGCCAUGGAAGUUGUGAGCGCCCGAAGUCGGUGUCGGAACCCGCAAGGGACCAAGCCGCCUAAGGCGAGCGCAAUGACUGGGGCGAAGUCGUAACAAGGU